Molecule: ribosomal RNA, 433 nt
Filed under: uncultured bacterium
Lineage: Bacteria
Description: partial 16S ribosomal RNA
Rfam family: Bacterial small subunit ribosomal RNA
Source: RNAcentral
AACGAACGCUGGCGGCAUGCCUAACACAUGCAAGUCGAACGAGACCUUCGGGUCUAGUGGCGCACGGGUGCGUAACGCGUGGGAACCUGCCCUUAGGUUCGGAAUAACUCCCCGAAAGGGGUGCUAAUACCGGAUAAUGUCUUCGGACCAAAGAUUUAUCGCCUUUGGAUGGGCCCGCGUUGGAUUAGCUAGUUGGUAGGGUAAAAGCCUACCAAGGCGACGAUCCAUAGCUGGUCUGAGAGGAUGAUCAUCCACACUGGGACUGAGACACGGCCCAGACUCCUACGGGAGGCAGCAGUGGGGAAUAUUGGACAAUGGGCGAAAGCCUGAUACAGCAAUGCCGCGUGAGUGAUGAAGGCCUUAGGGUUGUAAAGCUCUUUUACCCGGGAUGAUAAUGACAGUACCGGGAGAAUAAGCACCGGCUAACUCCGUG